Molecule: non-coding RNA, 66 nt
Filed under: Finegoldia magna
Lineage: Bacteria; Bacillati; Bacillota; Tissierellia; Tissierellales; Peptoniphilaceae
Source: RNAcentral
AACCGCCGUAUGCCGAACGGCACGUACGGUGGUGUGAAAGGGGCUAGAUCUUAGCCCCUAUUCGAU